This is a non-coding RNA of Araneus ventricosus, 73 nucleotides long. The record is from the annotation of a GenBank genome assembly. Lineage: Eukaryota; Metazoa; Arthropoda; Arachnida; Araneae; Araneidae.
UGCCCAUUAGCUCAGUUGUUCAGAGCGUCGUGCUGAUAACGCGAAGGUCGUGGGAUCCAUCCUCUAUGGGCCA